RNAcentral lists this ribosomal RNA (499 nucleotides) under uncultured Glomeromycotina. RNAcentral describes it as "partial small subunit ribosomal RNA". It matches the Rfam family "Eukaryotic small subunit ribosomal RNA", at positions 591 to 1092 of the family's 1831-position model. The record is from RNAcentral. Lineage: Eukaryota; Fungi; Glomeromycota.
CCAAUAGCGUAUAUUAAAGUUGUUGCAGUUAAAAAGCUCGUAGUUGAAUUUCGAGAUCAAUUUGUCGGUCGUGCCUCGGUACGUACUGGCAUUAUUGGUUUCUCCCUUCUGAAGAACCGCGAUGUCAUUAAUUUGGUGUCGUGGGGAAUCAGGACUGUUACUUUGAAAAAAUUAGAGUGUUUAAAGCAGGCGCACGCUUGAAUACAUUAGCAUGGAAUAAUGAAAUAGGACGUUUGAUUCUAUUUUGUUGGUUUCUAGGAUCGACGUAAUGAUUAAUAGGGAUAGUGGGGGGCAUUAGUAUUCAAUUGUCAGAGGUGAAAUUCUUGGAUUUAUUGAAGACUAACUACUGCGAAAGCAUUUGCCAAGGAUGUUUUCAUUAAUCAAGAACGAAAGUUAGGGGAUCGAAGACGAUCAGAUACCGUCGUAGUCUUAACCAUAAACUAUGCCGACUAGGGAUCGGAUGAUGUUAAUUUUUUAAUGACUCAUUCGGCGCCUUACG